CUCGCCCACGAGAGUCGGAGGGACAGCAUCGUGGCCGAGCUGGACCGAGAGAUGAGCAGGAGCGUGGACGUGACCAACACCACCUUCCUGCUCAUGGCCGCCUCCAUCUAUCUCCACGACCAGAACCCGGAUGCCGCCCUGCGUGCGCUGCACCAGGGGGACAGCCUGGAGUGCACAGCCAUGACAGUGCAGAUCCUGCUGAAGCUGGACCGCCUGGACCUCGCCCGGAAGGAGCUGAAGAGAAUGCAGGACCUGGACGAGGAUGCCACCCUCACCCAGCUCGCCACUGCCUGGGUCAGCCUGGCCACGGGUGGUGAGAAGCUGCAGGAUGCCUACUACAUCUUCCAGGAGAUGGCUGACAAGUGCUCGCCCACCCUGCUGCUGCUCAAUGGGCAGGCGGCCUGCCACAUGGCCCAGGGCCGCUGGGAGGCCGCUGAGGGCCUGCUGCAGGAGGCGCUAGACAAGGAUAGUGGCUACCCAGAGACGCUGGUCAACCUCAUCGUCCUGUCCCAGCACCUGGGCAAGCCCCCUGAGGUGACAAACCGAUACCUGUCCCAGCUGAAGGAUGCCCACAGGUCCCAUCCCUUCAUCAAGGAGUACCAGGCCAAGGUGAAACGACUUUGACAGGCUGGUGCUACAGUACGCUCCCAGCGCCUGAGGCUGGCCCAGAGCUGUCAGGACCAUGAAGCCAGGACAGAGGCCAGGAGCCAGCCCUGCAGCCCUCCCCACCCGGCAUCCACCUGCAUCCCCUCUGGGGGCAGGAGCCCACCCCCAGCACCCCCAUCUGUUAAUAAAUAUCUCAACUCCAGGGUGUUCCACC
RNAcentral lists this long non-coding RNA (820 nucleotides) under Homo sapiens (human). RNAcentral's name for it is "long non-coding RNA NONHSAT180236.1". The record is from RNAcentral. Lineage: Eukaryota; Metazoa; Chordata; Mammalia; Primates; Hominidae.